Molecule: ribosomal RNA, 457 nt
Filed under: Vibrio sp. 03_296
Lineage: Bacteria; Pseudomonadati; Pseudomonadota; Gammaproteobacteria; Vibrionales; Vibrionaceae
Description: bacterial LSU rRNA
Rfam family: Bacterial large subunit ribosomal RNA
Source: RNAcentral
GCCGUUGAAGGUGUGUUGUAAAGCAUGCUGGAGGUAUCAGAAGUGCGAAUGCUGACAUGAGUAACGACAAGGGGGGGUGAAAAACCUCCCCGCCGGAAGACCAAGGGUUCCUGUCCAACGUUAAUCGGGGCAAGGGUAAGUCGACCCCUAAGGCGAGGCUGAAAAGCGUAGUCGAUGGGAAACGGGUUAAUAUUCCCGUACUUCUUACAAUUGCGAUGGGGGGACGGAGAAGGCUAGGUGGGCCUGGCGACGGUUGUCCAGGUUCAAGUGCGUAGGCUGAGUGUUUAGGUAAAUCCGGAYACUCUUAAGGCUGAGACACGACGUCGAGCUACUACGGUAGUGAAGUCAUUGAUGCCAUGCUUCCAGGAAAAGCCUCUAAGCUUCAGAUUGUAAGGAAUCGUACCCCAAACCGACACAGGUGGUCGGGUAGAGAAUACCAAGGCGCUUGAGAGAACUC